ACUGCUGAUUCAAACUGCAGUGCCUCAGAGUGCAUUAGGACAAUCUCAGUGGGCAUCACCUAGUGUGUGGCAUGUUGGGAUGCUGUAGAUAAUCCCCCCAGCCCCAGCUUGCUGCUCAAUGGAAAAGCUCCACAUACUACCUAAGGUGAGACACCCUGAGGCCUGACCCAAGGCUGCCACUGUCAGAAGAAGGAGCAGAGGAGUUCAAGUUGUGUGACACUUGUGGACUGUUACCUUGGGUUAUGUAAUACCAGAGACCAUUCUAAGGCCUUUAAACAGCCCAUGAGAAGAGUGUCAUCCCGUAUCCAUGACUGAAUAAACAUUCUGCUCAGGUUUCACUGGGGACAAUAUUUGG
Mauremys reevesii (Reeves's turtle) is the source of this 355-nucleotide long non-coding RNA. RefSeq lists it as uncharacterized. The transcript has 4 exons. Lineage: Eukaryota; Metazoa; Chordata; Testudines; Geoemydidae. The record is from RefSeq and is a predicted model, not a curated record.